RNAcentral lists this unclassified non-coding RNA (316 nucleotides) under Hevea brasiliensis (rubber tree). Lineage: Eukaryota; Viridiplantae; Streptophyta; Magnoliopsida; Malpighiales; Euphorbiaceae. The record is from RNAcentral.
UUUUUAGUGUGAUCAACAGAAUCACUUUGCAGUGAAGCAAUAACGACAGAACAACAGUAGGGGUAGAAUGAAAAGUGACAAGUAUGGAUGGUAAUAAAUCACUAGAAAGUUCAAGGAUCAAAUUAAUGACCAUAGAUAAGGGUGAAAUUGGUGUUGGAAGAAUUUAUUAGUGAGAGAAAUCUUUCAGGAAUCAACAAAAGUUAAGGACACAACAUAAACGAUGAUAGAUAUGAAUCAUAGGUCGAGUAUAAGUAAAGUUAAUAAAUUAUAAAAUAUUAUGUCAGGAAGGACAAUGGUACGGUAAAGUGUUCAUGCA